CUUACCAUGCAAGUCGAACGGUAAGGCCCGCUUGCGGGUACACGAGUGGCGAACGGGUGAGUAACACGUGAGCAACCUGCCCUUGACUCUGGAAUAACAGCUGGAAACAGCUGCUAAUACCGGAUACGACCUCCUGCGACAUCGCACAGAGGUGGAAAGCUCCGGCGGUCAAGGAUGGGCUCGCGGCCUAUCAGCUAGUUGGUGAGGUAACGGCCCACCAAGGCUUCGACGGGUAGCCGGCCUGAGAGGGUGACCGGCCACACUGGGACUGAGAUACGGCCCAGACUCCUACGGGAGGCAGCAGUGGGGAAUAUUGCACAAUGGGCGAAAGCCUGAUGCAGCAACGCCGCGUGCGGGAUGACGGCCUUCGGGUUGUAAACCGCUUUCAGCUUCGACGAAGCGCAAGUGACGGUAGGAGCAGAAGAAGGACCGGCCAACUACGUGCCAGCAGCCGCGGUGAUACGUAGGGUCCGAGCGUUGUCCGGAAUUAUUGGGCGUAAAGGGCUUGUAGGCGGUUUGUCGCGUCGGAAGUGAAAACUCAGGGCUUAACCCUGAGCGUGCUUUCGAUACGGGCAAACUAGAGGGAUGCAGGGGAGAACGGAAUUCCUGGUGGAGCGGUGGAAUGCGCAGAUAUCAGGAGGAACACCGGUGGCGAAGGCGGUUCUCUGGGCAUUUCCUGACGCUGAGAAGCGAAAGCGUGGGGAGCAAACAGGCUUAGAUACCCUGGUAGUCCACGCCGUAAACGGUGGGCACUAGUGUGGGACUCAUUCCACGAGUUCCGUGCCGAAGCUAACGCAUUAGUGCCC
RNAcentral lists this ribosomal RNA (806 nucleotides) under Microlunatus sp. Its description in RNAcentral is "bacterial SSU rRNA". It matches the Rfam family "Bacterial small subunit ribosomal RNA", at positions 48 to 869 of the family's 1533-position model. The record is from RNAcentral. Lineage: Bacteria; Bacillati; Actinomycetota; Actinomycetes; Propionibacteriales; Propionibacteriaceae.